RNAcentral lists this long non-coding RNA (969 nucleotides) under Homo sapiens (human). Its description in RNAcentral is "non-protein coding lnc-MMP1-1:1". The record is from RNAcentral. Lineage: Eukaryota; Metazoa; Chordata; Mammalia; Primates; Hominidae.
AUGGCGAGCAGCAGCGGAUCCAAGGCCGAAUUUAUUGUUUGAGGGAAAUAUAAACUAGUAAGGAAGAUCAGGUCUGGCUCCUUCUGGGACCUUUAUCUGGCCAUCGAUAUCACCAAUGGCGAGCAAGUGGCAGUGAAGCUAGAAUCUCAAAAGGCCAGGCAUCCCCAGUUGCUGUAGGAAAGCAAACUCUGUGAGAUUCUUCAAGGCAGGCUUGGCAUCCCCCACAUACCGUGGUAUGAUCAGGAAAAAGACUGCAAUGUACCAGUCAUAGACCUUCCGGGACCUAGCCUCGAAGACCUCUUCAAUUUCUCUUCAAGAAGGUUCACAAUGAAAACUGUGCUUAUGUUAGCUGACCAGACAAUCAAUAAAAUUGAGUAUGUGCAUACAAACAAUUUUAUACAUAGAGACGUUAAACCAGAUAACUCCCUAAAGGUAUUGGACACCACUGUAGUAAGUUAUUCCGUAUUGAUUCUGGUUUGGUCAAAAAAUACAGCAACAGCAGGACAAGGCAACGCAUACUGUGCAGGUAAUAUAAAAAUCUCACUAGCACUGCCCGACGUGCCAGCAUCAAUGCACAUCUUGGUAUCGAGCAGAGUCACAGAGAUGAUAUGGAAUCCUUAGGCUGUUUUGAUGUGUUUUAACAGAACCAGCUUGCCAUGGCAAGGACUUAGGUCCGCAACAAAGAAACAAAAAUAUGAAAAGAUUAGUGAAAAGAAGAUGCCCACUCCUGUUGAAGUUUUAUGUAAGGGGUUUCCUGCAGAAUUUGCCAUGUGCUUAAACUAUAAUCGCGGGCUACACUUUGAGGAAGUCCCGGAUGAGGUGUAUCUCAGACAGCUAUUCCGCAUUCUUUCGAGGACCCUGAACCACCAAUACGACUAAACAUUUUAUUGGACAAUGUGAAAGUUGAAAGUAGCGCAGCAGACAGCCUCUUCCAGUGGGCAGGGUCAGCAGGCCCAAACCCCCACUGGU